GUCAGCGUGGCCUACUGGUUAGCGCUUCGGACUUGUAACCGGAGGGUUGCCGGAUCGAACCCCGACCAGUAGCCA
This 75-nucleotide transfer RNA is filed under the name Alosa alosa (allis shad). RNAcentral describes it as "tRNA-OTHER". The record is from RNAcentral. Lineage: Eukaryota; Metazoa; Chordata; Actinopteri; Clupeiformes; Clupeidae.